This 412-nucleotide RNase P RNA is filed under the name Acidobacteriota bacterium. Its description in RNAcentral is "Acidobacteria bacterium (sediment metagenome) RNase P RNA component class A". It matches the Rfam family "Bacterial RNase P class A". From Rfam's summary of the family: Ribonuclease P (RNase P) is a ubiquitous endoribonuclease, found in archaea, bacteria and eukarya as well as chloroplasts and mitochondria. Its best characterised activity is the generation of mature 5'-ends of tRNAs by cleaving the 5'-leader elements of precursor-tRNAs. Cellular RNase Ps are ribonucleoproteins. Lineage: Bacteria; Pseudomonadati; Acidobacteriota. The record is from RNAcentral.
GCAGGCGGACGGGCGAUCGCUUCGGGCUUCGGCCCGAAGAGGAAAGUCCGAGCUCCACAGGGCGAUGCGCCUCGUAACCCGAGGGCCCGCGAGGGACGGAAAGUGCAACAGAAAACAUACCGCCGAUGGCUGAAAAGCUCAGGCAAGGUUGAAAUGGUGCGGUAAGAGCGCACCAGCGGCCCGGAGACGGGCCGGCUUGGCAAACCCCGCACGGAGCAAGGCCAAAUAGGGAAACGCGGCGCCGCAAGGCGCCCCACCUCUCCCACGGGAGAGGGAUAGGAUGGACGGCCCGUCCAAGUUUCCGGGUAGGCCGCUCGAAUUCCGGGGAAACCCGGAAUCUAGAUGAAUGAUCGCCGCUUCGUUUCGCAUGCGGAACGAAGUACAGAACUCGGCUUACAGUCCGCCUGCAAUA